ACUCUGGGACAAGCCCUGGAAACGGGGUCUAAUACCGGAUACUGAUCAUCUUGGGCAUCCUUGGUGAUCGAAAGCUCCGGCGGUGCAGGAUGAGCCCGCGGCCUAUCAGCUUGUUGGUGAGGUAAUGGCUCACCAAGGCGACGACGGGUAGCCGGCCUGAGAGGGCGACCGGCCACACUGGGACUGAGACACGGCCCAGACUCCUACGGGAGGCAGCAGUGGGGAAUAUUGCACAAUGGGCGAAAGCCUGAUGCAGCGACGCCGCGUGAGGGAUGACGGCCUUCGGGUUGUAAACCUCUUUCAGCAGGGAAGAAGCGAAAGUGACGGUACCUGCAGAAGAAGCGCCGGCUAACUACGUGCCAGCAGCCGCGGUAAUACGUAGGGCGCGAGCGUUGUCCGGAAUUAUUGGGCGUAAAGAGCUCGUAGGCGGCUUGUCGCGUCGGUUGUGAAAGCCCGGGGCUUAACCCCGGGUCUGCAGUCGAUACGGGCAGGCUAGAGUUCGGUAGGGGAGAUCGGAAUUCCUGGUGUAGCGGUGAAAUGCGCAGAUAUCAGGAGGAACACCGGUGGCGAAGGCGGAUCUCUGGGCCGAUACUGACGCUGAGGAGCGAAAGCGUGGGGAGCGAACAGGAUUAGAUACCCUGGUAGUCCACGCCGUAAACGGUGGGCACUAGGUGUGGGCGACAUUCCACGUCGUCCGUGCCGCAGCUAACGCAUUAAGUGCCCCGCCUGGGGAGUACGGCCGCAAGGCUAA
This is a ribosomal RNA of 751 nucleotides. It matches the Rfam family "Bacterial small subunit ribosomal RNA", at positions 135 to 897 of the family's 1533-position model.